CAAACUGGAGAUGGCGACCGGCGCACGGGUGAGUAACACGUAUCCAACCUGCCGAUAACUCGGGGAUAGCCUUUCGAAAGAAAGAUUAAUAUCCGAUAGCAUAUAUUUCCCGCAUGGGUUUUAUAUUAAAGAAAUUCGGUAUGAGAUGGGGAUGCGUUCCAUUAGUUUGUUGGGGGGUAACGGCCCACCAAGACUACGAUGGAUAGGGGUUCUGAGAGGAAGGUCCCCCACAUUGGAACUGAGACACGGUCCAA
Molecule: ribosomal RNA, 254 nt
Filed under: uncultured bacterium
Lineage: Bacteria
Description: partial 16S ribosomal RNA
Rfam family: Bacterial small subunit ribosomal RNA
Source: RNAcentral